Molecule: ribosomal RNA, 484 nt
Filed under: uncultured bacterium
Lineage: Bacteria
Description: partial 16S ribosomal RNA
Rfam family: Bacterial small subunit ribosomal RNA
Source: RNAcentral
AUUGAACGCUGGCGGCAGGCCUAACACAUGCAAGUCGAGCGGAUGAAGGGAGCUUGCUCCUGGAUUCAGCGGCGGACGGGUGAGUAAUGCCUAGGAAUCUGCCUGGUAGUGGGGGAUAACGUCCGGAAACGGGCGCUAAUACCGCAUACGUCCUGAGGGAGAAAGUGGGGGAUCUUCGGACCUCACGCUAUCAGAUGAGCCUAGGUCGGAUUAGCUAGUUGGUGGGGUAAAGGCCUACCAAGGCGACGAUCCGUAACUGGUCUGAGAGGAUGAUCAGUCACACGGGAACUGGAACACGGUCCAUACGCCUGCGGGAGGCAGCAGUCGGGAAUGUUGGACAGUGGUGGAGAACCUUAUCCAGCCAGGCCGCGCGUGUUAAAGAGGUGUCCGGAUUGUAAAGCACGUUAUGUUGGGGGGAAGGGCAGUAAGUUAAUACCUUGCUGUUUUGACGUUACCGAGUGAAUAAGCACCGGCUAACUUCGUG